This 467-nucleotide ribosomal RNA is filed under the name uncultured bacterium. RNAcentral describes it as "partial 16S ribosomal RNA". It matches the Rfam family "Bacterial small subunit ribosomal RNA", at positions 28 to 507 of the family's 1533-position model. The record is from RNAcentral.
GACGAACGCUGGCGGCGUGCUUAACACAUGCAAGUCGAACGGAAAGGCCUCUUUCGGGGGGUACUCGAGUGGCGAACGGGUGAGUAACACGUGAGUAACCUGCCCUUGACUUUGGGAUAACUUCAGGAAACUGGGGCUAAUACCGGAUAGGAGCUCCUGCUGCAUGGUGGGGGUUGGAAAGUUUCGGCGGUUGGGGAUGGACUCGCGGCUUAUCAGCUUGUUGGUGGGGUAGUGGCUUACCAAGGCUUUGACGGGUAGCCGGCCUGAGAGGGUGACCGGCCACAUUGGGACUGAGAUACGGCCCAGACUCCUACGGGAGGCAGCAGUGGGGAAUAUUGCACAAGGGGUGGAAGCCUGAUGCAGCAACGCCGUGUGCGGGAUGACGGCCUUCGGGUUGUAAACCGCUUUCGCUCAUGACGAAGCUUUGUGUGACGGUAGUGGGUAAAGAAGCACCGGCUAACUACGUG